Molecule: ribosomal RNA, 497 nt
Filed under: uncultured bacterium
Lineage: Bacteria
Description: partial 16S ribosomal RNA
Rfam family: Bacterial small subunit ribosomal RNA
Source: RNAcentral
GAUGAACGCUGGCGGCGUGCCUAAUACAUGCAAGUCGAGCGAACAGACCUGCUUUUUCCUCCUCUUACGUUAUCGUCGGAUGGGUAAGUAACACGUGGCUAACCUGCCUUUAGCCCUGGGCUUACUUCUGAAACCCGGAGCUAAUACCUAAUUAUCUAUUGAACUGCAUGGUUCAGUCUUUAAAGGCGGUUUUUCUGUUACUUGUUGGUGAUUCCGCGCCGCAUUAUCUAGUUGUUAAGGUAACGGUUUACUACGGAAACGGUGCGUAGCCGACCUGAGAGGGUGAUCGGCGACAGUGGAACUGAGACACGGUCAAGACUCCUACGGGAGGCAGCAGUAGGGAAUCUUCCGAAAUGAGCGAAAGCCUGACGGAGAAGCGCCGAGGGAGUGAUGAAGGUCUUCGGAUAGGAAAACUAUGUUAUUAGGGAAGAACAAAUGUGUAAGUAACUAUGCACGUCUUGACGGUACCUAAUCAGAAAGCCACGGCUAACUACGUG